This 253-nucleotide ribosomal RNA is filed under the name uncultured bacterium. Its description in RNAcentral is "partial 16S ribosomal RNA". It matches the Rfam family "Bacterial small subunit ribosomal RNA", at positions 524 to 776 of the family's 1533-position model. The record is from RNAcentral.
UACGUAGGUGGCAAGCGUUGUCCGGAUUUAUUGGGUUUAAAGGGUGCGUAGGCGGUUUUUUAAGUCAGUGGUGAAAUACUUCAGCUUAACUGGAGAGGUGCCAUUGAUACUGGGAAACUUGAGUACUGAUGAGGUAGGCGGAAUGGACGGUGUAGCGGUGAAAUGCUUAGAUAUCGUCCAGAACACCGAUAGCGAAGGCAGCUUACUAAGGAGUAACUGACGCUGUGGCACGAAAGUGUGGGGAUCAAACAGG